GUCAGAAUUCUGAAAAUACAGUGACCACAGAAUCUGCAGCUCCUGAUGACAUUAAAGUCAGCAAACACCGCCCUGGACAUGUUUGUUACCAAAGUGAUUGGGACAUCAGCAAUUCUCAGUCAACACCAGACAGAAAUAAGACUGAGAUGUCUGAUGGAUCUGUCUGUUAUAAACUGAAGGAGGAGGACUUUUGCUCAAGUUUCACUGUGGAUUUCAACUCAAAAAGCUGUGAAACAAUUAAAAUCACCAAAGACAUCACAAUCGAUUUCAUAGAUCCAGCUGAGAUAGAUCAGCCCAAACCAACAAAACGUUCGGGAAAGAUUGAGCCAAAGUUACCUCCAAACUGUAAAAGAUUAACAGUAGAGUACACCUGUUCAGGUGAGCAGACAAUAUAAAUGAAGACUGUGACUCUAGAGUAAUUAUUUUAAUGAUCUUUAAUCUAAAAUUAUGUAGUUUUAGUUCAAGAGGUUUUUGUUCUCUGUGUGAUUCAUUCUUAAAUAAAUUAUUUUCUCUGUAUGUGACCAAGUUUAAUUAAAAUGCAAACAUAUUUUUUUUCCUGCAGAAACCAGAUAUUUUGGAAAACAAAUGAAUCCGUCUGUUCUGGAGACCUACACUAACUACAACUGCACUGGAGAAAUCAAGAAUGAAACCUUUGUUUUUAUCAGAACUCCACCUGUCAUCUUUAACAUUGACUGUGGUACGUGGAUGUUUACUUCAUCACAGUAGAAUGAAAGCACAGAAACAUCUUAUAGACUAUACAAAAAUUACGGUAGAGGUUUCAACAAUUGUAUGUUUGUUUUGUAUUUCUCUCUUCUAUUGGAUUGAUAUAUUAAAUAAUUAAUUCCUUGCUUCCAUGCAACUACAACUUAACUUUUUUGUGUCUUUUGUUUUAAAGGUGACCCUGUAUUUCAUCCUAGAGGAUAUGGAAUAGGUGGGUGAUCAUUUUUACCUUUUACCUGGAGAAUCAUGGUGCUCCCACCGCUCAGUGGGAGCAACGGCUGAAGUUUAAUCAUUUUUUUCUUUUUUUCCUUUUGCUAAAACUUUUACUUUUGGUGACAGAAUCUCGAUGUUUUUGUCUUAAAAGAAAGUUAAAAAUAUUAUUGCUUCCUUUGUUGCCAUUAUAACAUUUCAACAUUUCUGAGCAGGUUCCUACAACAUCAUCAUAAGGAGUGAGUUUCAAUUUAUUUUUUAUUCAAUAAAUCCAAAAUAAAGACAAAGGCAGAUUUAUUAACAUUUAUUUAUUUUAGUGUGUGCAUUCUGUUGUUAUUUAGGGUCUAAUUUUC
Molecule: long non-coding RNA, 1283 nt
Organism: Oryzias melastigma (Indian medaka)
Lineage: Eukaryota; Metazoa; Chordata; Actinopteri; Beloniformes; Adrianichthyidae
Exons: 3
Source: RefSeq, a predicted model, not a curated record